CCUAAAUCUGAGAGAAUGCAAGUGCAAAGAAGUCCCUGUGGGGAAGGCAGCAGGGAGCACGAGGCCUGGAAGCAUGAGGCAAAGCCCGGAGAAGCUGGGGAGGGUGGAGGCCAUUACCUCGCUUAAAGUCUCUUUCUGGAGGCAAGUGCAUCUCCCAUGCCUCAUCAGCUGGAUGUCAGCACCAGAUCAUCCCAUCAAGCAUGGAAGCAUCUACAUAACGAGGGCACAGGAUGAGAGGCUCACAUCCGGAAUAUCACAGUUGGGGCUUCAUAAGGCACCCCUGCACCCCUGUUUCCUGGAAUCUACUGAGAGAAAAUGGCAGACCAGCCAAGAUAUUUGACUGAGUUACAGGAGGCAAAGUGGAACAGUGUCUGCGAAUUACCUGGGGACCGCGGGAAGGGUGGACAACCGAUGGAGAAGGCUGGAGCCAAGAAAACACCAUUAUGCAUCGGUGAUCAGGGAAAGCCUUCUCCUCCGUUCCUGUAAGCUACGUGGAUUACCGGUGAGGCCUCACCCAGCAAUCCGGAGCAGGAAGUACACAAAACCCCAGAGGUCGCCUGCACACAACUAACUGAAACCCUCAAUUCAGCGGAUUGGCUUCCACCUUCAAGAGAAAAGCAAAUACUAAGAAAAUCAGUUCCCCCCUGGCACUGACCCUCU
This 660-nucleotide long non-coding RNA is filed under the name Equus asinus (donkey). RNAcentral describes it as "lncRNA (ENSEASG00005030888.1)". Lineage: Eukaryota; Metazoa; Chordata; Mammalia; Perissodactyla; Equidae. The record is from RNAcentral.